Molecule: ribosomal RNA, 343 nt
Filed under: uncultured beta proteobacterium
Lineage: Bacteria; Pseudomonadati; Pseudomonadota; Betaproteobacteria
Description: bacterial SSU rRNA
Rfam family: Bacterial small subunit ribosomal RNA
Source: RNAcentral
CUGUGAUAAUGACGGUACCUUGAUAAGAAGCACCGGCUAACUACGUGCCAGCAGCCGCGGUAAUACGUAGGGUGCGAGCGUUAAUCGGAAUUACUGGGCGUAAAGCGUGCGCAGGCGGUUUUGUAAGUCAGAUGUGAAAUCCCCGAGCUCAACUUGGGAACUGCGUUUGAAACUACAAGGCUAGAGUAUGGUAGAGGGGGGUAGAAUUCCACGUGUAGCAGUGAAAUGCGUAGAGAUGUGGAGGAAUACCAAUGGCGAAGGCAGCCCCCUGGACUAAUACUGACGCUCAUGCACGAAAGCGUGGGGAGCAAACAGGAUUAGAUACCCUGGUAGUCCACGCCCU